This 3894-nucleotide long non-coding RNA is filed under the name Ornithorhynchus anatinus (platypus). RNAcentral's name for it is "lncRNA (ENSOANG00000045320.1)". Lineage: Eukaryota; Metazoa; Chordata; Mammalia; Monotremata; Ornithorhynchidae. The record is from RNAcentral.
UGCACAUAGUUUUUGUUUGGUUUUUCCAACAAUGCCGUUUCUUCCUGAACCUAAGGUUUCAGGAUAAACCCAAGCCGAGACAGAACUCGCUUUGAAUAAACGUCCACAUCCUUCCAGGAGAACUAUGCAAAACGACAGGCCAUUUGAAUGGAGCUCUUUCAACAUCUUAAAAACCAACAGUCUCAAAUCCCAUCCACCCUCUUAACUCACCCUGGAACCAGACCUUCGAGGGACAGAAAAGUUGAGGUCUCUUCCAGCUCCAGCGCUUUGGAUGUGUGGGUUUCCCGAGAGUCUUCGACGAUUCGAGAUGGCGCUCUUGGCGGUUCCUCUACUACUGCUUAUCAACAUGGCGCAUGGCCUUCCCCAAGAUGACUCAAUCUGCCCCUCAGGCUCAUCUGCAUUCUUAUCCAGUUGUUUAAUCUACAUGAACCAGAACCUGAGCUGGUUUCAGGCACGGGAUAAUUGCCAGCAAGAAGACUCCGACUUGGUCUCUAUCCAGAAUGACCGGGAGGCUUUAGAGGUGGUCACGGUGAUUAGACAGUACCUGCCGGGCAUCGAGAACAUCUGGAUUGGACCAAACAACCUCACUCGGAACGAACAAUGGAAAAACCAAGAAGCUCCUAUAAACAGACCACGCUCUCUAGUACCCGACCCGAAGGGAAAGGCCCAAAGGAGUGAGAUGUGUGUGGAACUCAUGGUUUCUCAAGAACUCCCGAAAUGGAACAAUGCCAACUGUGACGAGAAGAAAACAUUCUUCUGCCAAAAGCUACCUCUCCAUCCAAAGUCUCCCGUCACAAGUAGAAGUGUAAGCCAAGUAAACAAAAAAUCAAAGGUCAGUGUGGUAACAAAGGAAAGCGAAAUGGACGUGGUCAGCAAGGAUGCCAGACGUAGCGAAGGCAAAAAGUUCACCGGAGAUGUAAAAGACAACGGAGAUGCGAAGGUUGACGUAGGUACAAAAGGUAACCAAGAACCGAGGAUUGGCGUGGACACAACCGUGAGACAUAGUUCACAAGUCUGCACUGAUCCAAAAGAAAACCAGGGUAUGAAGGUGACCAAAGAUACAAGAGAUCAUGAAGGCCUAAAGCUUAUAAAAGACACCAAAGACAAAGGAGAUUUAAAAGUCAGAGAAGAUACCAAAGAAAGUGAGCUCCCAAAUACCGGUCUAUAUGUCCAAACUGACAAAGUUUUGAAGGGUGGAAAAAAUUCAAGCAACGAUAAAGUCCAAUCUGGGGGCCAAGGGGCGAAGGAAGACGAUGAAGGAGCCAGACGUCACUGGAGAACGAAAAAUCCACAAACAGCAAAUGACAACAGCACUUUCACUAAGAACCACUCUCCGGACACGACCUUCACCUUCUUCCCCAUAGUGACCCCGCUCCUCUCCUUCCUCAUGUUUUGAACCUUCUUCCUGAAUUCAGAAGUAGGGGAAAGUCUCGCCGACUCCGCUGACAUGAGUAAACCCCACCCUACACAGGACGGAAUCGACAAAAACCUGGCAAGCCCCCCAGUUGUCCGGGGCUAAGGCAGCCCCUGAGGCCCUCUGAGUUUCAGAGGGAGAGUAACUUCUGUGUCGUCGGUUUCCAUUUUUCACUAAAGCCUUUUGACCUUAACAUCUUCCUUUCUGUAAGGAAGCUAGAUAGCCGCCCACCUCCCUCAGUGAAUUGGAAAUUCCUAGAGGGCAGGAAACAUACAUGUGCCUGGCUUCUUUAAUAAAUUCUAUCAUGAUUACUACUACUGGGAAUGGAGAAGCCUGAAGGAAAAGGGGCGAUUGAGUCUCUGCCUGAGGAAGUUUCCACCUAUCGCACUUCAAGAUUAGAAAGAAAUGAAUGUUCUCCAAGUUUAAGCCCAGAAAGGAAAUUUCCAAGUUCCCUACCGUAUCCACAGGAAGGAAAAGAAGCAUUGACUACUGGAUAGAGCACGGGCCUGGGAGUCCGAAGGAUCUGUUUUCUCCUGCUGGCUCCACCACUGGCCUGCUGUGUGACCUUGGGCAAGUCACUUCACUUUUCUGGGCCUCAGUUCCCUCAUCUGUAAAAUGAAGUUUAAGACUGUGAGUCCUGUGGGGGACAGGGACUGUGUCUAACCCAAUGACCUUGUAUCUACCCGAGUAGAACAGUGCCUGGCACAUAGUAAGCAUUUAGCAAAUGUAGUCAUUAUCAUUAUUCUUAUUAAAGUUUCAAACCAGGAGAUAUUUCAGCACUCCAGCUGGUUUCUCUUUGGUUUUUGUUUUUAUUCAGUUGUAGAGGGUUGGGGUCUGAUAGUGGCUGAUUCUAAGGGAGUAACCGCACUUUAUCCAUCCCUCUCCUGGACCCAAGUGGAAACACUAAUUAUCCAAUCCAGUUGGCCCCUCUGCUGUGACCACCCCUGGUCUGGGUAAAGUGAGGUUAUCAAGCUUCUGACUGGCAAAACUUGGCAUCAUAUACCUCUACCCUCCCAUCCUACCCUCCCAGCUCUGCCACUUGUCAGCUGUGUGACUGUGGGCAAGUCACUUAACUUCUCUGGGCCUCAGUUCCCUCAUCUGUCAAAUGGGGAUGAAGACUGUGAGGCCCCCGUGGGACAACCUGAUUCCCCUGUGUCUACCCUAGCGCUUAGAACAGUACUCUACACAUAGUAAGUGCUUAACAAAUACCAACAUUAUUAUUAUUAUUAUCAUCCUAUCUUUCCUCUGCAUCAAUUGUCCCCAACUGCCUCUUUCAUUGCCCCUAGGACACUGUGACCUUCACCUCCGCCUCGAUACCCAUCACCCCUGCGUUCCUCCUUGGAUAAUUAUCAUUAUAUAUGUUAAGAAUUUACUAUGUUUCAAGUACCACCUUUCUAAGUGAAAAGCAGCAUGACUUAGUGGAUACAGCAUGGGCCUGGGAAUCAGAAGGACCUGGGUUCUAAUUCCACUCUGCCCUAUGUCUGCUGAGUGACGUCGGGCAAGUCACUUCAUUUCUCUGGGCCUCAGUUACCUCAUCUGUAAAAAACGGGGAUUAAGAGUGUGAGCUCUUGUAUCUUGUUAUUGAUAUAUAUGUUAUUGUAUCUUGAUAUUAUCUUGUAUCUACUCCGGGGGUUAAAAUAAUGCUUGGCACAUAGUAAGCACUUUACAGGUAGCAUUAUUAAGUGCUGGAGAAGAUACAAAGUUAUCAGUUCAGACACAGUCCCUUUCUCACAUAGGUCUCACAGUCUAGGCAGGAGGGAAUAGGAUUUAAUAUCCAUUUUUACAGAGGAGGAAACUGAGGCCCAGAGAAGUGAAGUCUCUUGCCCAAGGUCACACAGCAGACAAGUUCAUUUACUCAGUUGUAUUUAUUGAGCGCUUACUGUAUGCAGACCACUGUACUAAGUGCUUGGAACGUACAAUUCGGCAACAGGUGACUCCCGGGCCUGUGCGGAUGUAAACGUCAUGUCCGCUCCAUUCUUCCCUCUCCCUACAAACUAUUUUCUUGUCAUUUGAAUCUCUGAAGGACUGUGUCUAUGAGUGUUUGGACAGAAACUAGGAAGGUAGUGAUUUUUCCAUUUAAAUGCUGAAUAAAGUAAUGUUUUGCACUGGGUGGCUGAUUUUACUGGAAGUGUUUUACUGCUGUUUCAGUCUGUCAUACAAAGCAACCCUCACCCUUUCCUUAGCUCAUCCCGUAUCCCGAAAAGAUCCUGUUGAAUGUGGUCCAAGCACUUUUUCUCAGAAUGCUGGGAAGUGUGACCUUUUACUUACUGUAUUUAUCCUUGUCCUUGUUUCUCUGGCCUGCCAAGUUUUCUGUCCAUUCCAGCUGGAAUUCAUUCACCAAAAACAUUCUAGGAGAUGACAAGCCAGGAAUCCCAAGGUCCAGCUCUGUGUCUAGUUAUGUAAGGAAGGUGCAUUAACUCUUUGAGGACCCGGACUCCACGGAGCGGAUCACCGCGACCUGGACCCCACUCUAAUCCUCA